UGCCUUUCAUUGCCAGCUGUCUUCUUAGU
Molecule: non-coding RNA, 29 nt
Filed under: Rattus norvegicus (Norway rat)
Lineage: Eukaryota; Metazoa; Chordata; Mammalia; Rodentia; Muridae
Source: RNAcentral